CGAAACUGGCAGGCUUGAGUCUUGUAGAGGGGGGUAGAAUUCCAGGUGUAGCGGUGAAAUGCGUAGAGAUCUGGAGGAAUACCGGUGGCGAAGGCGGCCCCCUGGACAAAGACUGACGCUCAGGUGCGAAAGCGUGGGGAGCAAACAGGAUUAGAUACCCUGGUAGUCCACGCCGUAAACGAUGUCUACUUGGAGGUUGUGCCCUUGAGGCGUGGCUUCCGGAGCUAACGCGUUAAGUAGACCGCCUGGGGAGUACGGCCGCAAGGUUAAAACUCAAAUGAAUUGACGGGGGCCCGCACAAGCGGUGGAGCAUGUGGUUUAAUUCGAUGCAACGCGAAGAACCUUACCUGGUCUUGACAUCCAC
This 364-nucleotide ribosomal RNA is filed under the name Salmonella enterica subsp. enterica serovar Anatum. RNAcentral's name for it is "bacterial SSU rRNA". It matches the Rfam family "Bacterial small subunit ribosomal RNA", at positions 628 to 991 of the family's 1533-position model. Lineage: Bacteria; Pseudomonadati; Pseudomonadota; Gammaproteobacteria; Enterobacterales; Enterobacteriaceae. The record is from RNAcentral.